GAUGAACGCUGGCGGCGUGCCUAAUACAUGCAAGUCGAGCGAACGGACGAGAAUCUUGCUUCUCUAAUGUUAGCGGCGGACGGGUGAGUAACACGUGGAUAACCUACGUAUAAGAGUUGGAUAACUUCGGGAAACCAGAGCUAAUACCGGAUAAUAUUUUGAACCGCAUGGAUCAAAAAUGAAAGACGGUCUCGCUGUCACUUAUGGAUGAAUCCGCGCUGCAUUAGCUAGUUGGUAAGGUAACGGCUUACCAAGGCAACGAUGCAUAGCCGACCUGAGCGGGUGAUCGGCCACACUGGAACUGAGGGACGGUCCCGACUCCUACGGGAGGCAGCAGUAGGGCAUCUUCCGCACUGGGCGAAAGCCUGUCGGAGCAACGCCGCGUGAGUGAUGAAGGUCUUCGGAUCGUAAAACUCUGUUAUUCGGGAAGUACAUAUGUGUAAGUAACUGUGAACAUCUUGACGGUACCUACUCAGAAAGCCACGGCUAACUACGUG
Molecule: ribosomal RNA, 497 nt
Filed under: uncultured bacterium
Lineage: Bacteria
Description: partial 16S ribosomal RNA
Rfam family: Bacterial small subunit ribosomal RNA
Source: RNAcentral